GACGAACGCUGGCGGCGUGCUUAACACAUGCAAGUCGAACGGUGAAGCGCCUUCCUUUUUGGUGGGUGUGGUUGAGUGGCGAACGGGUGAGUAACACGUGAGUAACCUGCCCCCUUCUUCUGGAUAACCGCAUGAAAGUGUGGAUAAUACGGGAUAUUCUGGGUCUGUCGCAUGAUGGGUCUGGGAAAGAUAUUGUUUCGGUGGGGGCUGGGCUCGCGGCCUAUCAGCUUGUUGGUGGGGUGAUGGGCUACCAAGGCGGUGACGGGUAGCCGGCCUGAGAGGGUGGACGGUCACACUGGGACUGAGACACGGCCCAGACUCCUACGGGAGGCAGCAGUGGGGAAUAGUGCACAAUGGGCGCAAGCCUGAUGCAGCGACGCCGCGUGAGGGAUGGAGGCCUUCGGGUUGUGAACCUCUUUCGCCAGUGAAGCAGGCCUGCCUCGUUUGUGGGUGGGUUGACGGUAGCUGGAUAAGAAGCGCCGGCUAACUACGUG
RNAcentral lists this ribosomal RNA (494 nucleotides) under uncultured bacterium. RNAcentral describes it as "partial 16S ribosomal RNA". It matches the Rfam family "Bacterial small subunit ribosomal RNA", at positions 28 to 507 of the family's 1533-position model. The record is from RNAcentral.